Molecule: ribosomal RNA, 239 nt
Filed under: uncultured bacterium
Lineage: Bacteria
Description: partial 16S ribosomal RNA
Rfam family: Bacterial small subunit ribosomal RNA
Source: RNAcentral
CGUGAGUAACCUGCCUUGGAGUGGGGAAUAACAGAUGGAAACAUCUGCUAAUACCGCAUAAUACGUCUGUGUCGCAUGGCACUGGACGUCAAAGAUUUAUCGCUCUGAGAUGGACUCGCGUCUGAUUAGCUGGUUGGCGGGGUAACGGCCCACCAAGGCGACGAUCAGUAGCCGGACUGAGAGGUUGGCCGGCCACAUUGGGACUGAGACACGGCCCAGACUCCUACGGGAGGCAGCAG